AUAAAGAAUAAUUAGUGGCAGACGGGUGAGUAAUGCAUAGGAAUCUACCUAGUAGUAUGGGAUAGCCACUAGAAAUGGUGGGUAAUACUGUAUAAUCCCUGCGGGGGAAAGAUUUAUCGCUAUUAGAUGAGCCUAUGUUAGAUUAGCUAGUUGGUAGGGUAAAGGCCUACCAAGGCGAUGAUCUAUAGCUGGUCUGAGAGGAUGAUCAGCCACACUGGAACUGAGAUACGGUCCAGACUCCUACGGGAGGCAGCAGUGGGGAAUAUUGGACAAUGGGCGCAAGCCUGAUCCAGCUAUGCCGCGUGAGUGAGGAAGGCCUUAGAGUUGUAAAACUCUUUCAGUAGGGAAGAUAAUGACGGUACCUACAGAAGAAGUCCCGGCAAACUCCGUGCCAGCAGCCGCGGUAAUACGGAGGGGGCAAGCGUUGUUCGGAAUUAUUGGGCGUAAAGGGCAUGUAGGCGGUUCGGUAAGUUAAAGGUGAAAUGCCAGGGCUUAAC
Molecule: ribosomal RNA, 497 nt
Filed under: Anaplasma phagocytophilum
Lineage: Bacteria; Pseudomonadati; Pseudomonadota; Alphaproteobacteria; Rickettsiales; Anaplasmataceae
Description: bacterial SSU rRNA
Rfam family: Bacterial small subunit ribosomal RNA
Source: RNAcentral